GCGCGGGUGGUGAAACUGGUAUACACGCAUCCUUGAGGUGGAUGUGCCGAAAGGCGUGGAGGUUCAAGUCCUCUCCCGCGCACCA
RNAcentral lists this transfer RNA (85 nucleotides) under Candidatus Harrisonbacteria bacterium. Its description in RNAcentral is "tRNA-Leu". It matches the Rfam family "tRNA". Rfam says of the family: Transfer RNA (tRNA) molecules are approximately 80 nucleotides in length. The record is from RNAcentral. Lineage: Bacteria; Candidatus Harrisoniibacteriota.